This 292-nucleotide ribosomal RNA is filed under the name uncultured bacterium. RNAcentral's name for it is "partial 16S ribosomal RNA". It matches the Rfam family "Bacterial small subunit ribosomal RNA", at positions 505 to 796 of the family's 1533-position model. The record is from RNAcentral.
GUGUCAGCCGCCGCGGUAAUACGAGAGGUCCAAACGUUAUUCGGAAUCACUGGGCUUACAGAGUUCGUAGGCGGUACGGAAAGUGGGGUGUGAAAGCCCUCGGCUCAACCGAGGAACUGCGCUCCAAACUACCGUGCUAGAGGAAGAUAGAGGUGAGCAGAACUGAUGGUGGAGCGGUGAAAUGCGUUGAUAUCAUCAGGAAUACCGGAGGCGAAGGCGGCUCACUGGGUCUUUUCUGACGCUGAGGAACGAAAGCUAGGGGAGCAAACGGGAUUAGAAACCCCCGUAGUCC